Molecule: small nuclear RNA, 132 nt
Filed under: Macaca nemestrina (pig-tailed macaque)
Lineage: Eukaryota; Metazoa; Chordata; Mammalia; Primates; Cercopithecidae
Description: U1 spliceosomal RNA (ENSMNEG00000008413.1)
Rfam family: U1 spliceosomal RNA
About the family: U1 is a small nuclear RNA (snRNA) component of the spliceosome (involved in pre-mRNA splicing). Its 5' end forms complementary base pairs with the 5' splice junction, thus defining the 5' donor site of an intron.
Source: RNAcentral
CCCCUUACCUGGCGGGGGACAGGCCGUGGUCAGGAAGGGGAUUCUCCCUGGACGAGGCUAGUCCACCGCACUUCGGCGGCGCUGACCCCUGCGAUUUCCCCACACGCGGGGCCCUGAUCUGCGGUGGUGUUA